AACUGACAUCAGCCUACUUUGAUCAACUCGUUGCUGCCAACUUGAAUCAACGGAACUGGACGAGGAAAAUUCUCGGCGCCUACUAACUUUGCUGUACGGCAACGUGUUUUCUUCACAGUCGACGGACUUUGACGAAAUGUUGAAAGAAGAGCUGGCCGGUUGAACGAUUUCGAUAUUUGUGUGCGUCCGUGGGGUAGCAGUACAGUCUCAAAUACACGGAUCUGCCCGAUUUCGGCCAGAAAGCGUCGCGGUUUGCUGGUUUAAUGACGUUUCAACAACUUUUACAUACCACGGGAACUCUCGGACGGAUGGCCAAAUGAGAUGGAAUACUAAACAGUUCGGACAUAUCAAGCAAUCAUGUGGAAUGUGGCCUGUUUUAAACUUUACACUCGUAAAGUGGUUUCAACAAUUUGGUUGAUGAUUUAAGCUUCGCUUG
Long non-coding RNA from Uranotaenia lowii, 436 nucleotides. RefSeq lists it as uncharacterized. The record is from RefSeq and is a predicted model, not a curated record. The transcript is spliced from 3 exons. NCBI's taxonomy places the organism in Eukaryota, Metazoa, Arthropoda, Insecta, Diptera, Culicidae.